UUAGAUCAAUCACUGUGAUUGCGCUUCAAGUUAGAAGGCGAAGGAGGAGAAGAAACCAAAUGCCUCCAAAGAUACUUUCCACUAGCCAUAUCUACGCAGGUCCAAAAUCCUUUCCCAAUGGCGCUGCACACCUGAUAAUUACAAACAAGCCAGCAAAUUACAAUUAAAAUUGAGCAAACAAAAAAUAGGGAAGAUGUGAACCUAAGAAAAUAUGGAUACUUGGGAGGAGAGAGGAACCGAAUUUGAGUCUCUGGAUAAAUCGUCGUGACUGUUGUCGGCGCCGGCGCCGGCAACAUCGUCGUCGGGAUCAACAUUAGGCUGAGAUUUGAGGUUCCGGAGAACGAAGAAUCCGGCGAGAGUUGCAGAAAGGAAGAUGAGAAUGAUCCUAAGGGGACACAUUCGGUUUGUUUCUCUCUCUAUACGAAGUUUGAGGUUUUCAGAGAGAGAAAGUUUUAAUAAUCAGAGAGGAAAGAGGGAAAUGAUGAAAUGAAGAAGGCAAGCUGAGGUGGAAAGUGGAUAAUUUUUGUAUUUUUACUCUAAAUAUAGUAUUUAUUUUAAUUAUUAUUUAUAUUAUAUUAUAUUGUUAAAUAUCGUUAUUAAUAAUAAAAAGUAUUAUUUAAAAAAAUUAUUUUGUGUCUCAUAUAACUGACACUAGUUAUGUGAGACAUUUUUCUAUCUUACAACUAUGUGGGUCUCAGAAUUUUAUUGACUCAUAUGUAUAAGAUACGGGUCCACAAAUAUAUGACAUAAAAAAAUGUCUUACACAACUAGUGUUAGUUGUAUAAGACACAUAAUAAAAUCACUCGUCAUUUUAUGUAACGGUCAAAUUGAUGUGGUUUCGUCAUUACCUUUUUUUCUCAUCUUAUCAUUAUUAUUAAGUAACUAGUAGUCGUACUAGCGCGAUGCACAGUCAAUAUUAAAAACUAUUAAUUAAAUUAAAUUAUAAUCGGACUUGUUUGAUCCAAUUGAUUUUAUUGCUUUCAUAAAAUUUAAUUAUCAUCUUACUUGUCAAUAGGAUAUACCCAAUAAUGAAAUCUCUAUUAAAUCAAAGUUACUUAUAUAGUUACUGAAUAACUUUUUUAUUCUAUAUAUUAACCAAUAUUUAAUAUUCGCUUUUUUUUGUCAUAUAUGAGAAGAUUUAUAUUACUGUUGAAUUAUUUUUUUAGUUUAAAUUUAAAAUUCUAUUGUUCUUAGUAAUAUUAUCUAAAUUUUAAGAAAUAAAAUCUUUGUUAAACUAACGGAACUUAUGUAGGGAGCGGAUUGAAUAACUUUUUUGUUAUGUAUUUUCUUUUAUCAUUUCAUCUAAUAUUUAAUAUUAUUACAUGGUUAAUAAAAAGUUUUAUUAGCAUAUUAACUUAUAAAAAAUUUUCUCUUAAACUUUUUUUAUGUCUUUAUAUUCGUUUUACUUAUUUUAAGAUAAUUCUAAAACUCCAGCUUGAAACUAAUCCCCAAUUUGAAUAGGUAAUUUAUUAUUUUUUUAAUUUUAUUUUUUAUUGUAAAACUCUAACUUAAAACUACAUCCCGAUUUGAAUGGGUAGUUUUUCUUCUCUUUCUUUCUUUCUUAUAGCUAAUUCUUUUUCUUUUAAUUUAAGAUAAUUUAUAAACUCCAACUUGAAACUACUCCCACCGAAUUUGAAUGGGUAGUUAUUAUUUUAUAUAUUUAAUUUUUUAAUUAUAUUUAAUUAUAAGAUAUCUAUAUUUAUUAAUUCAAACAAAGUAACCAAUUUUUAUAUAUAUAUAUUUUUACAGAUUACACCAUCAAUAUCACAAAGCAAACUGUACUCUAGAUUUUUCAUAUAAAAGGAAGGUAUUCAAUACAAGGGCAAUUACAAUAUUGAUGAACCAAACAACCUGAAAAACAAUCAGUUUACCCCUUAUUAGAUCAAUCACUGUGAUUGCGCUUCAAGUUAGAAGGCGAAGGAGGAGAAGAAACCAAAUGCCUCCAAAGAUACUUUCCACUAGCCAUAUCUACGCAGGUCCAAAAUCCUUUCCCAAUGGCGCUGCACACCUGAUAAUUACAAACAAGCCAGCAAAUUACAAUUAAAAUUGAGCAAACAAAAAAUAGGGAAGAUGUGAACCUAAGAAAAUAUGGAUACUUGGGAGGAGAGAGGAACCGAAUUUGAGUCUCUGGAUAAAUCGUCGUGACUGUUGUCGGCGCCGGCGCCGGCAACAUCGUCGUCGGGAUCAACAUUAGGCUGAGAUUUGAGGUUCCGGAGAACGAAGAAUCCGGCGAGAGUUGCAGAAAGGAAGAUGAGAAUGAUCCUAAGGGGACACAUUCGGUUUGUUUCUCUCUCUAUACGAAGUUUGAGGUUUUCAGAGAGAGAAAGUUUUAAUAAUCAGAGAGGAAAGAGGGAAAUGAUGAAAUGAAGAAGGCAAGCUGAGGUGGAAAGU
Molecule: long non-coding RNA, 2391 nt
Filed under: Nicotiana benthamiana
Lineage: Eukaryota; Viridiplantae; Streptophyta; Magnoliopsida; Solanales; Solanaceae
Description: long non-coding RNA (NBEN_LNC013168)
Source: RNAcentral